UACAGAGAGGGCAAGCGUUAUUCGGAAUUAUUGGGCGUAAAGGGCGCGUAGGCGGCUUUGCAAGUGACGGGUGAAAUCCCUCGGCUUAACCGAGGAACUGCCUGUCAAACUGCAUGGCUUGAGACCGGGAGAGGUGAGUGGAAUUCCCAGUGUAGCGGUGAAAUGCGUAGAUAUUGGGAGGAACACCAGUGGCGAAGGCGGCUCACUGGACCGGUACUGACGCUGAUGCGCGAAAGCGUGGGGAGCAAACAGG
This 253-nucleotide ribosomal RNA is filed under the name uncultured bacterium. Its description in RNAcentral is "partial 16S ribosomal RNA". It matches the Rfam family "Bacterial small subunit ribosomal RNA", at positions 524 to 776 of the family's 1533-position model. The record is from RNAcentral.